GCAUUCCACGUAAAAAAGGAAAACGACGUAAAUUUUAAAAUUACAUUAAUUAUCCCUAAUUCAGUCAGAACCUAUAGCUAAAUGUCUAUAUUUUAUGAAUCUGUAGAAAAAUAUUUAAAGAAAUAAUUAAAAAACUGACAUUUUUGUCUAUGGAAACUUUGACUUCAUACAGAAUUACUCAGCGGACAAGUUUAGGUUACGUUGACAACACUGUUCUCGGCCAUUUUGUCAGUUGUAGAAAGUUGACGCGUGUAUUUUACAGAAAGCGUGGAAAAGACUAAUAACUACCUAAAAAUAAGGUUAAAAGAUGAAUGCCGCAGAGAGAAAGAGGAAAUCUCGAGAGAAGAUGAAGGAGGACAAGGAUAAAUGGAACUUAGUCCAAGAAAAACAAAAAGAGUGGGAUAGAAAACGGAGAGAAAAAAAUAGACGUGAAUGUGACGAAAAUGAUAAAAAGGGAGAAUCUUU
Molecule: long non-coding RNA, 465 nt
Organism: Melitaea cinxia (Glanville fritillary)
Lineage: Eukaryota; Metazoa; Arthropoda; Insecta; Lepidoptera; Nymphalidae
Exons: 2
Source: RefSeq, a predicted model, not a curated record